CUGAUCCUGACCUGACCUCCUCCUGACCCUGUCAGCCGUCGCCAGAGUGCCUGAGCUGAGGAGAGAAGAAGGAAGAUUCUGAAGCAUCGGCUGUGUCCCUGGCUGGUCUGAACAGAUUCCUGGUAACUGGCAAAAACUUCUGUUUUGUGAAUACAGUCUAAGUUCAGAAAGUAAAGCUACCAUUACCAGUAAAUCCCGGAAUAUCUGCCUUACAUCUUGCCAAGGAUCUAGAUCGCGGUGAAGCAAGCUGGG
Long non-coding RNA from Bufo gargarizans (Asiatic toad), 252 nucleotides. RefSeq lists it as uncharacterized. The transcript is spliced from 3 exons. The record is from RefSeq and is a predicted model, not a curated record. Lineage: Eukaryota; Metazoa; Chordata; Amphibia; Anura; Bufonidae.